This 100-nucleotide ribosomal RNA is filed under the name Rhinotropis lindheimeri. RNAcentral describes it as "partial 18S ribosomal RNA". It matches the Rfam family "Eukaryotic small subunit ribosomal RNA", at positions 1732 to 1831 of the family's 1831-position model. The record is from RNAcentral. Lineage: Eukaryota; Viridiplantae; Streptophyta; Magnoliopsida; Fabales; Polygalaceae.
GCUGCCCGCGAUGUCACGAGAAGUCCACUGAACCUUAUCAUUUAGAGGAAGGAGAAGUUGUAAGAAGGUUUUCAGAGGUGAACCUGCGGAAGCAUCAUUG